This 710-nucleotide ribosomal RNA is filed under the name Bacillus sp. CSu3_29. Its description in RNAcentral is "bacterial SSU rRNA". It matches the Rfam family "Bacterial small subunit ribosomal RNA", at positions 61 to 753 of the family's 1533-position model. Lineage: Bacteria; Bacillati; Bacillota; Bacilli; Caryophanales; Bacillaceae. The record is from RNAcentral.
GUCGAGCGGACCGACGGGAGCUUGCUCCCUUAGGUCAGCGGCGGACGGGUGAGUAACACGUGGGUAACCUGCCUGUAAGACUGGGAUAACUCCGGGAAACCGGGGCUAAUACCGGAUGCUUGAUUGAACCGCAUGGUUCAAUCAUGAAAGGCGGCUUCGGCUGCCGUUUACAGAUGGACCCGCGGCGCAUUAGCUAGUUGGUGAGGUAACGGCUCACCAAGGCGACGAUGCGUAGCCGACCUGAGAGGGUGAUCGGCCACACUGGGACUGAGACACGGCCCAGACUCCUACGGGAGGCAGCAGUAGGGAAUCUUCCGCAAUGGACGAAAGUCUGACGGAGCAACGCCGCGUGAGUGAUGAAGGUUUUCGGAUCGUAAAGCUCUGUUGUUAGGGAAGAACAAGUACCGUUCGAAUAGGGCGGUACCUUGACGGUACCUAACCAGAAAGCCACGGCUAACUACGUGCCAGCAGCCGCGGUAAUACGUAGGUGGCAAGCGUUGUCCGGAAUUAUUGGGCGUAAAGCGCGCGCAGGCGGUUUCUUAAGUCUGAUGUGAAAGCCCCCGGCUCAACCGGGGAGGGUCAUUGGAAACUGGGGAACUUGAGUGCAGAAGAGGAGAGUGGAAUUCCACGUGUAGCGGUGAAAUGCGUAGAGAUGUGGAGGAACACCAGUGGCGAAGGCGACUCUCUGGUCUGUAACUGACGCUGAGGCG